Long non-coding RNA from Mus musculus (house mouse), 597 nucleotides. RefSeq annotates it as predicted gene, 39690. The record is from RefSeq and is a predicted model, not a curated record. Lineage: Eukaryota; Metazoa; Chordata; Mammalia; Rodentia; Muridae. The transcript is spliced from 2 exons.
ACAAAGUUCCAUCUAAGGAUGUCUAGGGUCACGAGACACGUGGAAAGCCGGCACGAGAAAGCAGGGAGCUCGGCCUUUGCCCUCCUUCCUGGCACUUCUGUUACCCAUCUUAAAAUGAGUGUAGACAAAGCAGCACAGAUGCGGGGCCAGGGUAAGGGUGCUGCCACGAGGCCCGACAUCGUGAGUUUGAUGUCUGGGAACAAUAUGUGGAAGAGGAGAAUCAACUCCUUCAAAAUGCUCUUUGAUCUCCAUAUGCAUGUUAGGCCUAGGCCGCUGACAAGUAUGUUGGAGAGAUACUGAAUAUUUGUAGUGGAAUCUGACAAUGCUGACAGCUUUGUUACCAGACUGUGGUUCUGAGAGCCAGUUUGGUUGGCAGUUGUGGCCGAGGUGGUGGCAAAACAGCUGCCCACAUCUGGAUCCAGAAGACAGUGACAUGAGAAUUCUGAGUGUUGUUAACUUCCUCACUUUUGCACUGAUGUUCCUUGGUUAGAGUCAUUGUGUCCUUGUGAUACCUCGAGUGCGUUCUGACUUUUGCCUGAAACUCCACUGAUUCUUAUGGUCAGUAGACAUAAGUGCCUAUUACAUAGCCUUGCACAA